UAUGAACUUCAGGGCAGGGUGAAAUUCCCGACCGGCGGUAAUAGUCCGCGAAGCCUUUGGCUUGAUCUGGUGAAACUCCAGAACCGACAGUAUAGUCUGGAUGGAAGAAGUGUUUU
RNAcentral lists this non-coding RNA (116 nucleotides) under Cetobacterium ceti. RNAcentral's name for it is "FMN sequence". It matches the Rfam family "FMN riboswitch aptamer (RFN element)". From Rfam's summary of the family: The RFN element is a highly conserved domain that is found frequently in the 5'-untranslated regions of prokaryotic mRNAs that encode for flavin mononucleotide (FMN) biosynthesis and transport proteins. This element is a metabolite-dependent riboswitch that directly binds FMN in the absence of proteins. In Bacillus subtilis, the riboswitch most likely controls gene expression by causing premature transcription termination within the 5' untranslated region of the ribDEAHT operon and precluding access to the ribosome-binding site of ypaA mRNA. The record is from Rfam by way of RNAcentral. Lineage: Bacteria; Fusobacteriati; Fusobacteriota; Fusobacteriia; Fusobacteriales; Fusobacteriaceae.